This 507-nucleotide ribosomal RNA is filed under the name uncultured bacterium. Its description in RNAcentral is "partial 16S ribosomal RNA". The stretch from base 16 to 369 matches the Rfam family "Bacterial small subunit ribosomal RNA", at positions 43 to 396 of the family's 1533-position model. The record is from RNAcentral.
GACGAACGCUGGCGGCGUGCUUAACACAUGCAAGUCGAACGGAAAGGCCCUGCUUUUGUGGGGUGCUCGAGUGGCGAACGGGUGAGUAACACGUGAGUAACCUGCCCUUGACUUUGGGAUAACUUCAGGAAACUGGGGCUAAUACCGGAUAGGAGCUCCUGCUGCAUGGUGGGGGUUGGAAAGUUUCGGCGGUUGGGGAUGGACUCGCGGCUUAUCAGCUUGUUGGUGGGGUAGUGGCUUACCAAGGCUUUGACGGGUAGCCGGCCUGAGAGGGUGACCGGCUCGCGGGGGUGUGGGCUGCGGCCCUGGCUCUGACGGAGGGCGGCGGUGAGGAUGGUGGCGCAAGGGGGGGGAUCCUGGUGCAGCACGGCGGGUUGCGGGUUGCGGCACUGGGGGUUGUAACCGGUGUUAGCUGGGGAGGAAGAGUGAGGUACGGUAGUGGGAAGAAAAGCACGGGCUAACUACGUGCGAGCGGCCGCGGUAGGGGAGAGGAGCCGCGGUCGGCCC